GAGUGAAAUGAUGCUUUACCAUCUUUCGGGACUGACCUGGAAUGGAGAUACUCUUUUUAUUACUGAUCACUC
Conger conger (European conger) is the source of this 72-nucleotide small nucleolar RNA. RefSeq annotates it as small nucleolar RNA SNORD2. The record is from RefSeq and is a predicted model, not a curated record. The transcript has a single exon. Lineage: Eukaryota; Metazoa; Chordata; Actinopteri; Anguilliformes; Congridae.